This 390-nucleotide ribosomal RNA is filed under the name Clostridioides difficile. RNAcentral's name for it is "bacterial SSU rRNA". It matches the Rfam family "Bacterial small subunit ribosomal RNA", at positions 167 to 575 of the family's 1533-position model. The record is from RNAcentral. Lineage: Bacteria; Bacillati; Bacillota; Clostridia; Peptostreptococcales; Peptostreptococcaceae.
UACGGGAUAAUAUAUUUGAGAGGCAUCUCUUGAAUAUCAAAGGUGAGCCAGUACAGGAUGGACCCGCGUCUGAUUAGCUAGUUGGUAAGGUAACGGCUUACCAAGGCGACGAUCAGUAGCCGACCUGAGAGGGUGAUCGGCCACAUUGGAACUGAGACACGGCCCAAACGCCUACGGGAGGCAGCAGUGGGGAAUAUUGCACAAUGGGCGAAAGCCUGAUGCAGCAACGCCGCGUGAGGGAGGAAGGCCUUCGGGUCGUAAAACUCUGUCCUCAAGGAAGAUAAUGACGGUACUUGAGGAGGAAGCCCCGGCUAACUACGUGCCAGCAGCCGCGGUAAUACGUAGGGGGCUAGCGUUAUCCGGAUUUACUGGGCGUAAAGGGUGCGUAGG